CUGGGCUCCCUGGCUGCGCACCGCGUGGCCAUGGUUGACCGGCAGCCAUGGAGACCCUGGUGGACUGGAGGAUGUGUUGCAGGGAAGAACAGGCCCUGGAGAGGUGGCAGCCUAGAGUCCAGAUCAAGGACAGGACCUCUCUGAAGGGAGACAGCCAUCCCGGCUAAUCUUUUCUGAGGCUAAUCUCUGCAAGGACAGUGAAGAAAGGCACACCCUGGAAACUCACCGAUUUUAGCUUUUUCCCCAUUCACUAUGCCUAUGUAAAAGCUGGUUUGAAAUGAAAUGUCAGAGCAGUCUUUUCAGGGUGUUACACCUGCUGCCCAGAUGCCGGCUAUCUGAUUAAUAAAACGCACCGUAAAGGUUCAA
This is a long non-coding RNA of Eptesicus fuscus (big brown bat), 366 nucleotides long. RefSeq lists it as uncharacterized. The record is from RefSeq and is a predicted model, not a curated record. The transcript is spliced from 2 exons. Lineage: Eukaryota; Metazoa; Chordata; Mammalia; Chiroptera; Vespertilionidae.